AAUGAAUUUGGGGAAAAGAGCAGAGCAGGCUAACAGCCAGGCUAAGAUUAAUCCUGGAGUCUUAUGUGUUAAAUCAGCUGCCGCUCUGAUCCGAAAUAAACGUGUUAAACAGUUGUUCCGUUGUCUUCUGAAUGAUUUCUGCUUUAUUGUUAUUAACAUGCAUUACUAUUGCUGUGACGAGUUUGAUUUAAAACCUACUAUUGCAGUUUAGAUGGUUUGAAAUGGUUGAUGAAUUUGCAACGGUGAUUUCAAUGAAGUCAGUGAUGAGGGCAAUAUAUAAAGUCCCAUUCACCUGUGUUUCUCCCUGCACCAUGGAAUGCCCAUUUCUGAAUGACGUUUUGGAUGAAGAAGCGAUGAAAUUGAGACGUGCUUUCAGGUGUGAGAGGGUGUUUUCGGUACAGAUCAGACCCUUCCCGACGAUUACCUGCAUGAGAGGUAUCGAUUUACUGGAGAUGGAAUCCGUUAUCUGUGCAGACUACUGGGUCCCAAAAUUCAGCACCGCACAGCGCAAAGCCAUGCUCUCACCAUCCUACAGAUGGUCUGCGUGGCACUGUGUUUUUUUGCAAGCGGCAUGUUUUUAUAUGACAUGGGAGAUGCCGAAAUUCUAAAUAAAAGCAUUGUUUGCCGUUGUGUCAGAAUUGUGUGUUUGGCACUGAAGUCCUAGGCACACAUUUUUAUUACCUUCCCUGGCCACAGAAGAAUGUGCUUCAUCAAAGAGGAUUUCUACAAGAUUACAGGUAACAUGAAUUACAGAUUACAAAAACGUGUUACAUUACAACAGUCACAGGAUAUAUUCAGACUAUUUUGUGUUACAGCUUUCCCUAAUGUCAUUGGUGCGCUGGACUGCACACAGAUCCGCAUUAAAUGCCCCUCAGGGGCCCACGAGGGAGAUUAUGUCAACAGAAAAUCCUUCCACAGUAUCAAUGUUCAGAUGAUCUGUGAUGCUGCCUGCAUCACUACCAAUGUGCAGGCAAAGUGGCCUGGGUCCGUCCAUGACUCCUGAGUUUUUAGGUCCAAUACCAUUUCCCAGCGACUCUCACAAGUUAGGCCACACACAUUUGACUGAUAAACACAAUUGUGUCAAAAGUUUUACUUAUGUGUAGUUGUAAUGAUUACAUUUUGUAUUCUAAGGUGAAUUCUCUGGCGUUCUGCUGGGAGACAAGGGUUAUGCCUGUGAGACUUACCUUCUCACUCCCCUUGCCGACCCUCAGACAGCAGCACAUCAAGGAUACAAUCGUGCCCAUGCAAGAACAAGGGCCAGAAUUGAGAUGGCAUUUGGCCUUCUCAAGUCACGAUUUCAGUGUCUCCACCACCUGAGGUCACCCCAGACAGGGCCUGUGACAUUACUGAAGCCUGCACGGUCCUACAUAAUAUUGCCUGUCUGAGGAAGGAAAGGGGUCACCGGACAUUGAGUGGGACCAAGCGUGCCGCACAAGCCCUGAAAAGUGAAGCCAAAACAUCUCGAUCGCCCCCUGGAUGUGCCAAGCCAUAUGCUUUUAAUAAAUAAUACUCACUGGAUCAUCGUCUGGUGGCAGGAGAGUGACUGUGUCGCCGGACACUAGAAGACACAACAAGGUCAGACAGUCCACAUAUGUCCAUAAAUGGUUGAUUGUGUUUGAUAUGCAGUACUGGAAAAUGUACCUUGUAUAAAGAGGGUAGUUUCUGCAGGUGGAACAGAGCCUGUAGCUGUCCCACCCUGAAUCCCUUCCGUCACAGGCCUUUCUUGGUUUAAAUCAAAGGCCAUUUCCUCAUUUGGGGUGAAGUCUGGAGCUGGUGCCUCCCAGUGCCAGACAAAUGAGUCUUCUUCUUAACUGCUAAAAUCCAUUUAGAUAAAGUAUGUGAGCAGGCAUCUUGUAAGUAAUUUCUACAUACCAUUUGCACACUGUUAAGAAUUAAGGCACUUACCAACCUGCAAAAUGUUUUUAUAUUUGAUCUUGACUUGUUGCCAGGUUCUUUUUUGCCCAGUCACAUUUGUUCUGUAUGAACAUUAAUUGUAGGUAGAUGUUUAGAAUUAGACUUCUAGAGAUUUGUGCACAUGGUUGUAAAACAUAUUCUCGCAUUGUAAAUAUGGGUUUGAAAUUAAGCCUAGUCCUUAAUUUGCAGAGGAACAUUAACUUUGCUAGUCAGUAGAUAUUGUUAAAUCCUUACGCAUUCAGUCGGUCCGCUAUUGUCUGCCAGGCCUUUUCUCUCUGUUUAAUAAUAUGCAGUAUUUCCUUUUCUGCAUAUUAUAUGCUUUACCUCCUCAUAACUUACCAUAAUUAGUUGCUGCUCAGUGGGUGAACACCAUACUAAUACUUUGUUUGACCCCCAACAAGGUGCUGAAAGCAUUCUUUAGAAAUGUUGGCCCAUAUUGAUAGGAUAGCAUCUUGCAGUUGAUGGAGAUUUGUGGAAUGCACAUACAGGGCACAAAGCUCCCGUUCUACCACAUCCCAUAGAUGCUCUAUUGGGUUGAGAUCUGGUGACUGUGGGGGCCAUUUCAGUACAGUGAACUCAUUGUCAUGUUCAAGAAACCAAUUUGAAAUGAUUUGAGCUUUGUGACAUGGUGCAUUAUCCUGCUGUAAGUAGCCAUCAGAGGAUGGGUACAUGGUGGUCAUAAAGGGAUGGACAUGGUCAGAAACAAUGCUCAGGUAGGCCGUCGCAUUUAAAUGAAGCCCAAUUGGCACUAAGGGGCCUAAAGUGUGCCAAGAAAACAUCCCCCACACCAUUCUUCUCUGACCUCUAGCAUCAACCAGACAUUUUCACCCAAAGGACUGCCGCAUACUGGAUGUUUUUCCCUUUUCACACCAUUCUUUGUAAACCCUAGAAAUGGGUGUGCGUGAAAAUCCCAGUAACUGAGCAGAUUAUGAAAUACUCAGACCGGCCCGUCUGGCACCAACAACCAUGCCACGCUCAGAAUUGCUUAAAUCACCUUUCUUUCCCAUUCUGACAUUCAGUUUGGAGUUCAGGAGAUUGUUUUGACCAGGACCACACCCCUAAAUGCAUUGAAGCAACUGCCAUGUGAUUAGUUGAUUAGAUAAUUGCAUUAAUGAGAAAUUGAACAGGUGUUCCUAAUAAUCCUUAAGGUAAGUGUAUUUCAUAUCCAUUGAGUUGCAUUGUGGCCAAUGGGGUGGGCGGAGUAAAACACCAGCAACAAUUGCAAAUACACAGUACCC
Molecule: long non-coding RNA, 3152 nt
Organism: Esox lucius (northern pike)
Lineage: Eukaryota; Metazoa; Chordata; Actinopteri; Esociformes; Esocidae
Source: Ensembl